Molecule: ribosomal RNA, 1606 nt
Filed under: Salmonella enterica subsp. enterica serovar Carrau
Lineage: Bacteria; Pseudomonadati; Pseudomonadota; Gammaproteobacteria; Enterobacterales; Enterobacteriaceae
Description: partial 23S ribosomal RNA
Rfam family: Bacterial large subunit ribosomal RNA
Source: RNAcentral
CUGUGUGUUGUUGGGUAGGGGAGCGUUCUGUAAGCCUGCGAAGGUGGCCUGUGAGGGUUGCUGGAGGUAUCAGAAGUGCGAAUGCUGACAUAAGUAACGAUAAAGCGGGUGAAAAGCCCGCUCGCCGGAAGACCAAGGGUUCCUGUCCAACGUUAAUCGGGGCAGGGUGAGUCGACCCCUAAGGCGAGGCCGAAAGGCGUAGUCGAUGGGAAACGGGUUAAUAUUCCCGUACUUGGUGUUACUGCGAAGGGGGGACGGAGAAGGCUAUGUUGGCCGGGCGACGGUUGUCCCGGUUUAAGCGUGUAGGUGUGUGUUCCAGGUAAAUCCGGUUCACUUUAACACUGAGGCGUGAUGACGAGGCACUACGGUGCUGAAGCAACAAAUGCCCUGCUUCCAGGAAAAGCCUCUAAGCAUCAGGUAACAUCAAAUCGUACCCCAAACCGACACAGGUGGUCAGGUAGAGAAUACCAAGGCGCUUGAGAGAACUCGGGUGAAGGAACUAGGCAAAAUGGUGCCGUAACUUCGGGAGAAGGCACGCUGACAUGUAGGUGAAGUGAUUUACUCAUGGAGCUGAAGUCAGUCGAAGAUACCAGCUGGCUGCAACUGUUUAUUAAAAACACAGCACUGUGCAAACACGAAAGUGGACGUAUACGGUGUGACGCCUGCCCGGUGCCGGAAGGUUAAUUGAUGGGGUCAGCGCAAGCGAAGCUCCUGAUCGAAGCCCCGGUAAACGGCGGCCGUAACUAUAACGGUCCUAAGGUAGCGAAAUUCCUUGUCGGGUAAGUUCCGACCUGCACGAAUGGCGUAAUGAUGGCCAGGCUGUCUCCACCCGAGACUCAGUGAAAUUGAACUCGCUGUGAAGAUGCAGUGUACCCGCGGCAAGACGGAAAGACCCCGUGAACCUUUACUAUAGCUUGACACUGAACAUUGAGCCUUGAUGUGUAGGAUAGGUGGGAGGCUUUGAAGUGUGGACGCCAGUCUGCAUGGAGCCGACCUUGAAAUACCACCCUUUAAUGUUUGAUGUUCUAACGUGGACCCGUGAUCCGGGUUGCGGACAGUGUCUGGUGGGUAGUUUGACUGGGGCGGUCUCCUCCUAAAGAGUAACGGAGGAGCACGAAGGUUGGCUAAUCCUGGUCGGACAUCAGGAGGUUAGUGCAAUGGCAUAAGCCAGCUUGACUGCGAGCGUGACGGCGCGAGCAGGUGCGAAAGCAGGUCAUAGUGAUCCGGUGGUUCUGAAUGGAAGGGCCAUCGCUCAACGGAUAAAAGGUACUCCGGGGAUAACAGGCUGAUACCGCCCAAGAGUUCAUAUCGACGGCGGUGUUUGGCACCUCGAUGUCGGCUCAUCACAUCCUGGGGCUGAAGUAGGUCCCAAGGGUAUGGCUGUUCGCCAUUUAAAGUGGUACGCGAGCUGGGUUUAGAACGUCGUGAGACAGUUCGGUCCCUAUCUGCCGUGGGCGCUGGAGAACUGAGGGGGGCUGCUCCUAGUACGAGAGGACCGGAGUGGACGCAUCACUGGUGUUCGGGUUGUCAUGCCAAUGGCACUGCCCGGUAGCUAAAUGCGGAAGAGAUAAGUGCUGAAAGCAUCUAAGCACGAAACUUGCCCCGA